Molecule: ribosomal RNA, 249 nt
Filed under: uncultured bacterium
Lineage: Bacteria
Description: partial 16S ribosomal RNA
Rfam family: Bacterial small subunit ribosomal RNA
Source: RNAcentral
UACGUAGGUGGCAAGCGUUGUCCGGAUUUACUGGGCGUAAAGGGCGUGCAGGCGGUUUGUUAAGUUCAGGGUGAAAGCUCCCGGCUCAACUGGGAGAGGUCCUUGGAUACUGGCAGACUUGAGGAGGGUAGAGGAGAGUGGAAUUCCCGGUGUAGUGGUGAUAUGCGUAGAUAUCGGGAGGAACACCAGUGGCGAAGGCGGCUCUCUGGGCCCUACCUGACGCUGAGACGCGAAAGCGUGGGGAGCGAA